This 521-nucleotide long non-coding RNA is filed under the name Macaca fascicularis (crab-eating macaque). RNAcentral describes it as "ABCF1 divergent transcript". Lineage: Eukaryota; Metazoa; Chordata; Mammalia; Primates; Cercopithecidae. The record is from RNAcentral.
CGGGGCGGGGCCGGCGUCCGCCUACUCUAGUCGCGUCCACAUGGCGUUUACGACGGUCUGGGAAGCCUGACGCCGUGACCUCCCGACGCCGCGAGACUCCAGGAAUGACCAUAAUAAUUUCCUACUAGUAUGAAGGAGUUGAGGCAUACUUUUUUUUUUUUAAGCAUAUUCUAGUUUCUAUCUGUAACUCUCGUUUCUAGCUCUAACUGCCACCGCGAUGCCAAAGGCGCCCAAGCAGCAGCCGCCGGAGCCCGAGUGGAUCGGGGACGGAGAGAACACGAGCCCAUCAGCCUGGAAGAACCUUAAGCUUUGUCAUUCCCCAUCACUAGUGUGUAUGAACUAAAGAAUGAGCUGACUCCACCAGGUGAGAACAGCUUCAUCUGUACCUCCAGAGAUGACUAGAACACAGGGAUUAAAGAAAAUGCUGGUUUCCACUGCAUUUAUUACUAAUAUAAAAAAAUGUUAAAAAAAAAAACAAAAACACCUCAUUCUCAGUUCUCCAACAACUCUCAUCCCUCCCU